RNAcentral lists this ribosomal RNA (468 nucleotides) under uncultured bacterium. RNAcentral's name for it is "partial 16S ribosomal RNA". It matches the Rfam family "Bacterial small subunit ribosomal RNA", at positions 28 to 507 of the family's 1533-position model. The record is from RNAcentral.
GACGAACGCUGGCGGCGUGCUUAACACAUGCAAGUCGAACGGAAAGGCCCUGCUUUUGUGGGGUGCUCGAGUGGCGAACGGGUGAGUAACACGUGAGUAACCUGCCCUUGACUUUGGGAUAACUUCAGGAAACUGGGGCUAAUACCGGAUAGGAGCUCCUGCUGCAUGGUGGGGGUUGGAAAGUUUCGGCGGUUGGGGAUGGACUCGCGGCUUAUCAGCUUGUUGGUGGGGUAGUGGCUUACCAAGGCUUUGACGGGUAGCCGGCCUGAGAGGAUGACCGGCCACAUUGGGACUGAGAUACGGCCCAGACUCCUACGGGAGGCAGCAGUGGGGAAUAUUGCACAAUGGGCGGAAGCCUGAUGCAGCAACGCCGCGUGCGGGAUGACGGCCUUCGGGUUGUAAACCGCUUUCGCCUGUGACGAAGCGUGAGUGACGGUAAUGGGUAAAGAAGCACCAGCUAACUACGUG